CGAAGGGCGUAGCGUUGCUCGGAAUCACUGGGCGUAAAGGCGCGUAGGCGGCCAUUCAAGUCGGGUGAAAGCCUGUGGCUCAACCACAGAAUUGCCUUCGAUACUGUUUGGCUUGAGUUUGGUAGAGGUUGGUGGAACUGCGAGUGUAGAGGUGAAAUUCGUAGAUAUUCGCAAGAACACCAGUGGCGAAGGCGGCCAAACUGGACCAACACUGACGCUGAGGCGCGAAAGCGUGGGAGCAAACAGGAUU
RNAcentral lists this ribosomal RNA (250 nucleotides) under uncultured bacterium. RNAcentral's name for it is "partial 16S ribosomal RNA". It matches the Rfam family "Bacterial small subunit ribosomal RNA", at positions 526 to 779 of the family's 1533-position model. The record is from RNAcentral.